GAUGAACGCUGGCGGCGUGCCUAAUACAUGCAAGUCGAGCGAACGGACGAGAAGCUUGCUUCUCUGAUGUUAGCGGCGGACGGGUGAGUAACACGUGGAUAACCUAGCUAUAAGACUGGGAUAACUUCGGGAAACCGGAGCUAAUACCGGAUAAUAUUUUGAACCGCAUGGUUCAAAAGUGAAAGACGGUCUUGCUGUCACUUAUAGAUGGAUCCGCGCUGCAUUAGCUAGUUGGUAAGGUAACGGCUUACCAAGGCAACGAUGCAUAGCCGACCUGAGAGGGUGAUCGGCCACACUGGAACUGAGACACGGUCCAGACUCCUACGGGAGGCAGCAGUAGGGAAUCUUCCGCAAUGGGCGAAAGCCUGACGGAGCAACGCCGCGUGUGUGAUGAAGGUCUUCGGAUCGUAAAACUCUGUUAUUAGGGAAGAACAUAUGUGUAAGUAACUGUGCACAUCUUGACGGUACCUAAUCAGAAAGCCACGGCUAACUACGUGCCAGCAGCCGCGGUAAUACGUAGGUGGCAAGCGUUAUCCGGAAUUAUUGGGCGUAAAGCGCGCGUAGGCGGUUUUUUAAGUCUGAUGUGAAAGCACACGGCUCAACCGUGGAGGGUCAUUGGAAACUGGAAAACUUGAGUGCAGAAGAGGAAAGUGGAAUUCCAUGUGUAGCCGUGAAAUGCGCAGAGAUAUGGAGGAACACCAGUGGCGAAGGCGACUUUCUGGUCUGUAACUGACGCUGAUGUGCGAAAGCGUGGGGAUCAAACAGGAUUAGAUACCCUGGUAGUCCACGCCGUAAACGAUGAGUGCUAAGUGUUAGGGGGUUUCCGCCCCUUAGUGCUGCAGCUAACGCAUUAAGCACUCCGCCUGGGGAGUACGACCGCAAGGUUGAAACUCAAAGGAAUUGACGGGGACCCGCACAAGCGGUGGAGCAUGUGGUUUAAUUCGAAGCAACGCGAAGAACCUUACCAAAUCUUGACAUCCUUUGACAACUCUAGAGAUAGAGCCUUCCCCUUCGGGGGACAAAGUGACAGGUGGUGCAUGGUUGUCGUCAGCUCGUGUCGUGAGAUGUUGGGUUAAGUCCCGCAACGAGCGCAACCCUUAAGCUUAGUUGCCAUCAUUAAGUUGGGCACUCUAAGUUGACUGCCGGUGACAAACCGGAGGAAGGUGGGGAUGACGUCAAAUCAUCAUGCCCCUUAUGAUUUGGGC
This 1205-nucleotide ribosomal RNA is filed under the name Staphylococcus aureus. RNAcentral describes it as "bacterial SSU rRNA". It matches the Rfam family "Bacterial small subunit ribosomal RNA", at positions 28 to 1214 of the family's 1533-position model. Lineage: Bacteria; Bacillati; Bacillota; Bacilli; Caryophanales; Staphylococcaceae. The record is from RNAcentral.